Megalops atlanticus (tarpon) is the source of this 69-nucleotide non-coding RNA. Lineage: Eukaryota; Metazoa; Chordata; Actinopteri; Elopiformes; Megalopidae. The record is from the annotation of a GenBank genome assembly.
GACUGUGGCCUGGUGGUAAGAUGUUGGACUCGUAAACAAAAGAUCAUGGGUUCAUGUCCCAUCCGUGCU